GACGAACGCUGGCGGCGUGCUUAACACAUGCAAGUCGAGCGGUAAGGCCCUUUCGGGGGUACACGAGCGGCGAACGGGUGAGUAACACGUGGGUGACCUGCCCUCAGCUCUGGGAUAAGCCUGGGAAACCGGGUCUAAUACUGGAUAUGACUCCAUGACGCAUGUUGUGGGGUGGAAAGCCUUGUGCGGCUGAGGAUGGGCCCGCGGCCUAUCAGCUUGUUGGUGGGGUGANGGCCUACCAAGGCGACGACGGGUAGCCGGCCUGAGAGGGCGACCGGCCACACUGGGGCUGAGACACGGCCCAGACUCCUACGGGAGGCAGCAGUGGGGAAUCUUGCGCAAUGGGCGAAAGCCUGACGCAGCGACGCCGCGUGAGGGAUGACGGCCU
This 388-nucleotide ribosomal RNA is filed under the name uncultured bacterium. RNAcentral's name for it is "bacterial SSU rRNA". It matches the Rfam family "Bacterial small subunit ribosomal RNA", at positions 28 to 417 of the family's 1533-position model. The record is from RNAcentral.